Molecule: ribosomal RNA, 487 nt
Filed under: uncultured Turicibacter sp.
Lineage: Bacteria; Bacillati; Bacillota; Erysipelotrichia; Erysipelotrichales; Turicibacteraceae
Description: partial 16S ribosomal RNA
Source: RNAcentral
CACGUAGUUAGCCGUGGCUUUCUCAUGAGGUACCGUCAAUUGAUAGUCAUUUCCUCCUAUCACCUUUCUUCCCUUAUAACAGAAUUUUACAACCCGAAGGCCUUCUUCAUUCACGCGGCGUUGCUCGGUCAGGCUUUCGCCCAUUGCCGAAGAUUCCCUACUGCUGCCUCCCGUAGGAGUCUGGGCCGUGUCUCAGUCCCAGUGUGGCCGUUCACCCUCUCAGGUCGGCUACGCAUCGUCGCCUUGGUAGGCCUUUACCCCACCAACUAGCUAAUGCGCCGCAGGCUCAUCCAUCAGUGAUGCCAGGAGCAUCUUUAAACUUUCGUCCUAUCCGGUAUUAGCGAUCGUUUCCAAUCGUUGUCCCCGUCUGAUGGGCAGAUCACCUACGUGUUACUCACCCGUUCGCCGCUUCCCACCGAAGUGGUUCGCUCGACUUGCAUGUAUUAGGCACGCCGCCAGCGUUCAUCCUGAGCCAGGAUCAAACUCU